AGUCGUAACAAGGUUUCCGUAGGUGAACCUGCGGAAGGAUCAUUACUGAGUUCAUGCCCUUACGGGUAGAUCUCCCACCCUUGAAUAUCUAAACCUUUGUUGCUUUGGCGGGCCGCUUCGGCUACCGGCUCCGGCUGGUGAGUGCCCGCCAGAGAACCUUAAACUCUGAAUUACAGUGUCGUCUGAGUACUAUAAAAUAGUUAAAACUUUCAACAACGGAUCUCUUGGUUCUG
This 233-nucleotide unclassified non-coding RNA is filed under the name Cistella sp. RNAcentral's name for it is "partial internal transcribed spacer region". The stretch from base 1 to 45 matches the Rfam family "Eukaryotic small subunit ribosomal RNA", at positions 1787 to 1831 of the family's 1831-position model. The record is from RNAcentral. Lineage: Eukaryota; Fungi; Ascomycota; Leotiomycetes; Helotiales.